Molecule: ribosomal RNA, 124 nt
Filed under: Canis lupus familiaris (dog)
Lineage: Eukaryota; Metazoa; Chordata; Mammalia; Carnivora; Canidae
Also listed under: 1 other name
Source: RNAcentral
GUCUACGGCCAUACCACCCUGAACGCGCCCGAUCUCGUCUGAUCUCGGAAGCUAAGCAGGGUCGGGCCUGGUUAGUACUUGGAUGGAAGACUACACUUCCUGAGCAUUGACUCUGGGUCAGACC